Molecule: ribosomal RNA, 254 nt
Filed under: uncultured bacterium
Lineage: Bacteria
Description: partial 16S ribosomal RNA
Rfam family: Bacterial small subunit ribosomal RNA
Source: RNAcentral
CACGUAGGGGGCGAGCGUUGUCCGGAUUUAUUGGGCGUAAAGAGCUCGUAGGCGGUUUCGUAAGUCGGGUGUGAAAACUUCAGGCUCAACCUGGAGACGCCACCCGAAACUGCGAUGACUAGAGUCUGGAAGAGGAGAGUGGAAUUCCUGGUGUAGCGGUGAAAUGCGCAGAUAUCAGGAAGAACACCCGUGGCGAAGGCGGCUCUCUGGGACGGUACUGACGCUGAGACGCGAAAGCGUGGGGAGCGAACAGG